AUUCUCAUUAGUUUAAUGGUAAAACCAGAUACUUCUGAUAUCUUAAUUUAAGUUCGAAUCUUAAAUGAGAAUA
RNAcentral lists this transfer RNA (73 nucleotides) under Pyronema omphalodes. Its description in RNAcentral is "tRNA-Arg". It matches the Rfam family "tRNA". Rfam says of the family: Transfer RNA (tRNA) molecules are approximately 80 nucleotides in length. Lineage: Eukaryota; Fungi; Ascomycota; Pezizomycetes; Pezizales; Pyronemataceae. The record is from RNAcentral.